This 3578-nucleotide ribosomal RNA is filed under the name Triticum aestivum (bread wheat). Its description in RNAcentral is "partial small subunit ribosomal RNA". The record is from RNAcentral. Lineage: Eukaryota; Viridiplantae; Streptophyta; Magnoliopsida; Poales; Poaceae.
UUAGUAUACCGGUCAGUUACCGACCAGUUACUACUUCAGGUGGGAAGCCAGAAGAAGGGGAAGAGGCACAGGUAUACAUCGACGGUGCCCUCUCGCCGCUGACUGAGUGACUGAGUGACCAGAGAGAAGGCCAGAGGGGGGAGGAGCCGGUAGAGCAGGUGGCGUUUAGGCAGCGUCGAUGUCGGCCGCCCCUCGUAGAGAGGAAGCGGCGGGCGGCAUCUCUGCCGGCCGGCGGCGGUCGUCGCCGGUCUAGACCCGAGUCCGCUCUCUCCCUCUGGCUGGUCAGAGCUUAGGUGGUAAAGGGAGAGACGUGUUGCCUCCCUAAGCCUGCCGCGCGCGCAGCGGUAACGAGGCCUCGAGAUUCGGUCUAGCUCUCUCGGUCGGCCCCUCCGCGGACGGUCGGUCGGUACCGCCUGGACCGCCAGCCCGACAGGUUCUGCCACCACCGCCUCCGCGACUGGUUCCACGUCAGCCGGUAGCUGCUCCUGUUGUUCGAGGCCGUGUUCCGCGUCGCCCUGGACCACUGGUAGUGGGAGCUCAAGCUCUACUACGUCAGGAAGGACUUGCAGCGGUUGCCGCCCUCCCGGCGGCGGUACUUGUUGGACCACUCCUGGACCCACUCCGUGCAGGCGCUCGACCGGAUGCUGGACCUCCUGACGCAGCUCAAGCAGCAGGUGGACCUGCCGUUCGGCCAGAAGACCGCGGCGGACGAGGGCCGCACGCACCAGCCGGGCGACGGCGACCUGGUCCGCCACCGCCUCUAUCUCCACUAGUUCCCGUCCCGCCUCCUCGACUCGCGCACGAUGAGCGCGAUGUCGACGUAGCCGCUCGGACAUAGGUUGGAGCAGUACGACGUCGUCGUCGUCCGAAGGCCGGCCCCGCGACCGCGCCACCGCCGGCUGUACGAGUAGCUCCGCUCCCUAAGCCGCUUUUCCGUCGUUAAGGACCCACUAGACCGGGUCGAAUAGUGGUUGUUCCUGUUCCUGGAAGUCCACUAGAGCCACACCCCCUGUACGCCACUAGAACCCUGUUGGAGCUAGUAGUCCUUCCGCAUGUUACUAGGCCUCUAGACGGCCUCGAAGCGGACGGCGCAGACCCACUUCGAGUACGUAGGAAAGUUAGGGGUGCUCAAGCACACCGCCAAGUACCGUGUCCAGAUGUGGCGUCUGCGAACGCAGCUGUUCCUUCCUCGUCUACACCCACAUGUACAGGACCGUUUUUACCUCCGGUACGUCCUUCUACACUCACACGAGUCUGCACUCAAACACGUCCUUCAGUUGUGGUUCUGAAUGGAGCAGCACAACCUCUUGGAUUGACUGUACCAUCUAACCCUACGACACUCCUGCAAGGAUGGACUGUACUUCUUACCGUCGACCUAGUAGCACAGCUGCGUCGUUAAGCUCUAACGUUCGAACACGUAGCCUGUACGAAUGGUUGGUGACCUCGAGUUCGUCAAGAGUGGACUCGUGAGCCAAACACGUAAGAAGUUCCUCCAUGUGUCCUUCUUAGGAAAUAGUGGAAAUUUCCUAGUGCUUCUACACCUCGAUCUUCUCGAAUAAAACUUCACACCUCCAGAAGGGUUUCACUAUCAAAGAUAUCGACGGAAUAACCGGUGUGUCUGCCAUUGUAACUACCUAUGGCACGUGAGUAACUUAGUUUUUAAAUACGUCGUAGACCUCUGGUUAGGCCUAGUACUCACAGAGUUCCCGGACAAACUAACCUACGUGAGCAUGAAGGCAUGAACGGGUCUAAGGGAGUUCGGUACAUAGAAGAUGGACAGUUAAAAGGGAGCUGUGGUGCCGUAAGCCGUUUCCGCUGAUCAUUCCUCCACCUAACGUCUUCCAAUGAGAUCUCUGUCACUACUUCUUAGACGGCAACUGUUUCCCCUCUUGAAGAAGAGGUUCGAGGAGCUCGACUCGUAUUAAGUCGUCUAUGGUGUCAAUCAGUGGUGACGUAUGUUACUGUGGUCGUACCAGAGCACGGUCCAGUUACCGAAGUAGGCGCUCAUGUAACAGAGCGCGUCUUACCUUCUCUUGGAACACAAACUUGAACCCGGGUUAACGCAGGAUUGGUGGGUGGCGUGUCCCUCUGUGGAAUAGUAUAACUCUCUGACCCUGUCUCUGUUCUAACACAAACUCUCGUAGCUGAAGAGUGCCGAUGCGAGCGACUGUCACAAACCUUUCACCCUUAGCAAGAAGUAGAGGUUCUCAUACUCCGAUGAAGCCCACGAACUAGACCUCCUGCGUGACCCACAUUUCCUACUUCUAGAACUCUUCUACCACUUCGCCGACGCAGCGGACUUCAAAGAGAGAAAUGCUCCUACGCCACUCUAGAACGUAGACGGUUCGAGCGAGCCGCUAGAGUCCGUCGAGGUCUGAGACCUACACUCCGUGUGGAGGUAUGAGUUUGACGGUCGCUCGUAGUGUUCCAAUGUCUUCGACGUCAUGUAGGCGCGGCCGUGGUGGCGGGCUCGUAGUCGUGGCGGACGGAGUAGGUCGUCCGACGGUUUCAAGGUGUCUACGGCGCCGGACAAACCAUAGUUCCACGGGUUUCCCUAGCCUUUUGACUGCCGCGACGUGUGCGAGCCGCAGCAGCUGCAGCCACGAAGCCCUCCCUUCCGACAUCACCUUCUCGAGUCCUUUGAGUGGGUCGACGCGUUCGAGCCUCACAGACCGUAGUUGUCCGUAUUGUCGUUCCUGAAGAAGAGACGUUGGAGUCCGGAACACGUAGACCUUAGGAACGACCACGCCGACCCGUUCCUGUCGGUUCCGACGGACCUGCUUUAGUGGGACGGAACCCUCUUGGACGCCUCGGAGUGUGAGGUGCCCGAAGUUCUGUUCGACGGUGGUAGUUUCUUGGAGUCCUUCGAGUACUUCGACCUAGACCUCUACCUGCGGAAUUUCCUUCUGCUGUAGUUCAAGGAUCGGUUGGAUGGCCUCGAUACGUAGGACGCAGAGGCCCAGCCUGUCGAAGUCCUACCAUUCGAGGUAAAAGUGCGGCUCUACAUGCCCCUCCUCGACCAGUGGAAGUUCUUCCACUUCUAGGAGCUCUAGCGGAGGCCGCGGUCGCUCGACGUGCACUGGAAGCCCAGCUCCAGCUACUUCUCGGAGCUCGACGACUUCUAGCUGACGAGGUCGCGCAGCAUGGUAGAGUGCCCGGACUUGAAAGACAGGCUCGAGUUCCUCCAGAACGAGGUCCCAUGGUUACUACUCCGCUAGUUCUCGUUGAACCUCUGGGUCGAACGUUUGGUAGGGUUCCGCGGAUGGCACUUCGACCUCCUUGACGGCGCAAGUAGGACUUCCCAGCUGCGGUAGAGACAAAUAAAGUGAACAAAGACGAAUGGCACUCGAGACUAGGGCAGCGACGUUAGUCAGGAAGUCGAACAAAUGGAAACCAAAAAACACGUAGUCAUGACAACAACUUUAGAAAUGAAAAAAAAAAACACUUUGCCUACAACAACUUUAGAACUGACAAUGUUCAAUGUUGGCACACAAGGAACUCUUUACAUGGUGCAAGUUAAGAGUAUACCCAUGAACCUAUGCACGGGUAGAAGUUCCACUUCACACCAGCUACACUUA